UACGGAGGAUGCGAGCGUUAUCCGGAUUUAUUGGGUUUAAAGGGUGCGUAGGCGGACGCUUAAGUCAGCGGUAAAAUUGCGGGGCUCAACCUCGUCGAGCCGUUGAAACUGGGUGCCUUGAGUGGGCGAGAGGUACGCGGAAUGCGUGGUGUAGCGGUGAAAUGCAUAGAUAUCACGCAGAACUCCGAUUGCGAAGGCAGCGUACCGGCGCCCAACUGACGCCGAAGCACGAAGGCGUGGGUAUCGAACAGG
RNAcentral lists this ribosomal RNA (252 nucleotides) under uncultured bacterium. RNAcentral describes it as "partial 16S ribosomal RNA". It matches the Rfam family "Bacterial small subunit ribosomal RNA", at positions 524 to 776 of the family's 1533-position model. The record is from RNAcentral.